GGAAAGUACCGAGCGCACCAUCUGCUCAGAGUAGGUGCUCAAGAAACACUGGUUAUAUAUACUGGCUGAAUCCAAAUGUGACCCCUGAGGCUUGUUAGCUAACGAGGGAGCAUGUGUUGAAGUGGCUGUUAAUGUGUAGAGACAACAAGCAGUCAAAACUAUUUUUCAAUUUUGUUGACCGGCCACAUUUGCAGCAGGGCCUCCGAAAACCAAACUUUGCACUCGUCUUAUCAGCCCGUUGGUCGGGCCACUUGCGUAUGUUGUUGGCUUGCAUCCACUUUCUCUGAAAUGCCACAAAGGAACCAGAUUGCGGAAGCCACUUGGGGAUUUUCCACUUCUCAAUGGGCUGCUCUGGAGCCCUUCAGACCCUUGAGAUCCGGAAGAAGGAAACUGCCACUGAGAAGGGGACUCAAGGGGCCACAAGUUGAGUGGGGGGCCCUCAGGACCCGGAGCAGGACGACCUGAGACAGCAGCCUCUCUCUUCUGCCAAGUGGCUGUUUGGCCUUGAAAAGUCACUCUCUUCUCUCUCUGGGUUCCCCGAAAGGGGAGAGGGGAUGGGCUAGAAAUCGAAUACCCUCCUCGAUGACUAAUCAGAAGAAGAAAUAUCUCUGAGCUCAGAGGAGCCUACUAUGGUCUUCAACCUGUUGCGUUUACCAUCCUAUCUAAUCUUUGUGACCAUCCUGCAGAUUUCGGGGAGCCUCUCCAUCUUACAGAUGAAGAAACAGGAGGGGAGAUUAAGUAGCGAGCCCACGUCACAGCAAAUGAAAUGGCAGAGACGACUUGGGUGCUAGUCAGACAGGAUUCAACAUCCCAACAGAUGAACACCCACUCCUCGGUUCUUCCACUAGGAUGGUCUCUGAGGGUCAACUCUGAUGUUUCUCCACAAAGCUUGAAUCACGGACCCUGCAACACGGAAUGCAAUUUAUUCCGCCUUCCAGAGACGAAAAGCAUCAAAGCAAGCUUCCGGGAAUUUAAUUUCAGCGUUUGCAUCCAAGUCACCAGGGGCUCAGGAGGCCAGGCGGGACACACUGCCCCGCGCUCGCUCUCGCCUUCUCUCUCUGUCAGAGGUGAGCAGCUCCAGCUCCCCCAUCAGAGAUCUGAGGGUCUGCCCCAUGCCUACCUCGUUCCACCGCAUCGAAUGAAUCCCCACUCUUGCCCAGCCCCAUGGCCCCAUUUCCACCGCCCCUGGGAGGGCAGAGCUCCCCACUCCACUCUCACAGACUUGCUGACACACCCUCAGCCACUGCCCUGGCCCUGGUUUGCCUCUCUAGGCACCUUCUCCACUCUCUCAAGGUUAUCCAUUCUGAAAUAUUAUCACGUUCCUAUUACAGCCGUCCAAUGGCUCCCCAAACCCACAGAGUCAAGGAUCAGCUCCCAGCAGAGCUUCCAAGACUCCCCGUCAUCCAACCACCCCCUCCAUCUCCAGCCCCAUCUCACCACACCCACCACACACACACACACACACACACACACACACACACACACACACGGAGCAGUGCCGGGCCUCGGGGCUUCCCGCCUCCACCCUUCUCCUCCUCUUCCCAGAACACUCUGCCCACCCUCGUCACAUGCUCACCCUUCUUCGCCUGCCAGCUCCUCCUCGCCCUUCAAGACUCAGCUUGGCAUCACCCCACAGGGAGCGUCCCCUGGGCCGCGGGUUGGGAGGUGCCUCCUCUGAGGACUGGUCAGGCCUCUUGAUGGCUGCAGACAAGGCACCCGCUCCCUGGUGACACCUCUGCCCUUCCCCAUCUCACCCAGCAGCCUGACUCUGAAUUCAGCAUGGCCUUCCUCCUGGUCCUCAGGCCCUGCCACUGGGCCUCUGGGGUGAAGUGUUCCAUCUAUGUUCCUUGGAAGUCCUGAAGCACCGUGGAGGUUGCACUGGGUCUCCAGUCUUACCAGGAAGGAGAAACAGCGGUCCAGGAACUCGGUACCCUGACUCUCCCGUGGAUUGUACUUAUUGCUCAGUCUCACCUUCUCCUGUGGACCCAGGUGUGCGCCUCCCGUGGGAGAUGGGAGUGGGAUCCUAGAGUGGGAUGGACCUAGGCAAUGCCCCCGGGCCCCUGCACCUCCAUGUCUUCAUCUGUAAAAUGAGGUCCUUAGUGCCUGAUGCAGGAUUGGCGGGAGCAUUCAGUGAGAUUAUCUAGAUGAAGCCUGAGGCGAGGUGCCUGGUAGAGAAACACGCUAAAUGUUGCCGCUGUUAUGACGACUUUCCCUGUAAUACUCUAAGCCCUUUAGACGCGCAUCCUCGCUUCAUCCUCUGAAAUCUGGAUUAUCAACCCCAUCCUACAAACAAGGAAACUGAAGCUCCAAAGGCUCAUCUCCCAUGAUCCAGGUCAAAGAGCUAACCUAAUAGUUCCCCAACUGUGCUCAGCAUCAGAAUCGCAUGGAGAGCUGGUUAAAACAAUUGAACAUUUGCAGUGUGCUGGGGCAGGGGUUGGCAAACUAUUUCUAUAGAGGGCCAGAGAGUAAAUAUUUUAGGCUUUGCGGGCCGUGGGGUCACUGACACAGCUAUGAACCCUGCCUUUAUAGCAGACAAAACAAUAAGGAAACAAAUGGGUGUGACUUCUUCCAGGAAGAGUUUAUUUGCAAAAACAGGCAGAAAGCCAGAUUUGGGCCACAGGUCACCAUCAAGUGCUGGGAAAAUGGAGAUGAUCAGAGAGAACGAAACAGGCAGAUGCAGAGCCCUGUGACCAGGCCUCUAACGCAGAGGUUCCUUCGAACGAGAUGAAGGACAGCCCAGAGAAGAGAGCUAGACGCAGUCAGAGAAGGACCGACGCAGGAAAUGACUUUGACUGGAUCCUGAGAAUCUCUUACAGGCACCCACAGCAUCACAGCAAUAGAGGGACCAAUCCAGCCUCCCACUGAGCGGAGAGGGAAAUUGAGGCCCAGGGAGAAAGAUGGCGAAGCUUGGACAAGGACGCAGGUCUUUCGACCGUCAGAUGCGUGCCUUCUCACGUCAGCCCACAGGUUCCUCUUGCCGAGAUCCUCUCCAAGCUAACACCCGAUCGUGGAAACAGACCAUACUCAACCCAGCAAGUCUUCUAAAAGUCCUUGUGCUGUGGUCUGGGGACUGAGCUCUCUGGCUCUGGAUUGGACCAGAUCUUUGCACAGAUUCCAGCUCUAUCACUGCCCAGCUGGGUGACCUUAGAGAAGCCACUCACCUUCUGCACCUGCCUUCUCAUCUGUAAACUCGGCAUGGUAAGGAAACGAAGACUCCAGGAGCCUAUUUUCCAAAGGCCGCAUUACCAACAAAGGACAGACCGAGAUUUGGACUCUCAUGUCCUGAUCCCCGCCUCAGGCUCUUUCUGCCAGAACCACAGACAAAUCCACAAAGUGACCCUCCGUGAAUCUUAGAGGUCAUUUAAAGGUAGCGGUGUCUGCCUCGCUACUCAAAGUGUGGUCCGUGGACCAGCAGCAUCUGUACUCCCUCAGGGCCUGGUAGCUGUGCAGAAUCUCAGGCCCCAGGCUGGACCCGAGGAAUCAGAAUCUGCAUUUUAAUGAGGCCCCUGGGUGAUCUGUAUGCACACAACAGUUUGGGAAACAUUUGCCUAUGGGGUAUCAUUUCAGACUUUCAAGAAUUUUUACCAUUAGAAAUGAAGAUAACAACAACAGUCAGCAUCGUUAAACUCAGCAUCCUGAUCCAACCACAGACCGGUCCAAACUUUUCAAAAUAUCAUCUGAGCAGAAAAGCUUAUAAACUGCUUUGCUUAUCAGCCAACAGCUGACCUCAGAACCUUUGGCAAGACAAAAUGUUCUGCCCUCCCAAUGAGAUCAGUAUCGCAUUUCUGGUGGUGUAUUUAUCUAGUUUUCAUUGCUGACAUGUAUUACGUAACACCACCCCUCUUUCUUCUGCCAUCACUGGCUUAUUUGAACAUCUGACUUACCUUGACCCUAGAGCACAGUGCAGCUUAUGCAACAAUCUGAACGUUUCUCCUCAGAAGUCCCCUGUGUCCCCAUGGUGGCCUCGGCUCCUGUCCUCAUGCCGCAGACAAGAUAGCUGUGUCCCACCUCUGAUUCUCUAGGCGACUUUAGGAUCCAGCCCUGGCUGCGUGCUUACUGCCUCCCAUUCUUCGAGGAUUUUCUGGGCUUGACUAAGAGUCUUUCAGAUCUUCUUUCCCAACUGUGCUGGGCUUCGAGACUGCUCAGAGAACAGAGGCACCUGGCUCAGAACGUGUGUAGAUAAUACCAAGCAGAAUCUUCCUCCUCUCUCCGUGAUGGGGAAUGAGGGGGCCAGCAGGCAGAUCAGGACCAAGGAUGGGACCCGAGGGGUCGGCUGGGGAAGGAAGAGGUCCAGAGAGAACAGUGCUGAAAACCCAGGGUUCUAGGGUCCAACAGAACUGAGACUUGAUCCAGCUCGGCUUCUUAUUUGCUGGGUGACAUUGGGUAGAUUACUCACCUACUUUGAGCCUCUUGGUCUCAUCUAUAACAGGGAGAGGAUGAUGCCGACCUCUGGGACUAAGUUGGCUAACAUUAGUAAAAUUCUGGAUGCUAGGCUUGUCAUAUACAGACAUUCAAUAAGAGGGAGCUUGUUUUUUGAUUGUAGAGUAAGUCAUUGAGGGAGACAGCCCACAAAUGUCAUGAAACUUCCAAUUCUUAAAACACACACACAUGCUAACAUGUUUUCCUGCA
This is a long non-coding RNA of Equus caballus (horse), 4629 nucleotides long. Lineage: Eukaryota; Metazoa; Chordata; Mammalia; Perissodactyla; Equidae. The record is from Ensembl.